This 720-nucleotide long non-coding RNA is filed under the name Citrus x clementina. RNAcentral describes it as "Citrus clementina (C. clementina) long non-coding RNA (CCLE_LNC004696)". Lineage: Eukaryota; Viridiplantae; Streptophyta; Magnoliopsida; Sapindales; Rutaceae. The record is from RNAcentral.
UAUGAUGUUCUACUGGAAUUUCUUUUCUCUUCCUCCUACCGGCUCAUGCUAAUACUAUAUGCUAGAAAUCAAGGCCAAAAAUUUGCUUUACACAAGUGUAAUCCCUCUGCAGGUACCUAUCGUGGCUUCCACUGGUGGUUUGGUUGACACUGUGGAAGAAGGCUUUACAGGAUUCCAGAUGGGAAGCUUCAGUGUUGACGUAAUAUACUCAUCUCCAUCCUAUAAUUCUAGAGUAAUUCCAAGGAUACCACUUGAUUCAACUGUAAUUUCUGUUUUUAUCAUUGAUCAAUUUCUUUCAGUGUGAGGCUGUGGAUCCAGUAGAUGUGGCUGCAGUGUCCACAACCGUCAGAAGAGCUCUUGCAACCUAUGGUACUCAAGCUUUGGCUGAAAUGAUGAAAAAUGGCAUGGCUCAAGAUCUUUCAUGGAAAGUGAGUAUUGGAACUGUGCAAGAAGAAGACUCUUUAAUUUAGUGGCUUCAGUUGAAACCUGUCUUUUCAAUUCGUUCAAAAGAUAUCUGAGCUGAUAUGUUUUUUAAUGGGACAGGGACCAGCUAAGAAAUGGGAGGAGACCCUACUUAACCUGGAAGUUGCUGGUAGUGAACCUGGAAUUGACGGCGAAGAAAUUGCUCCUCUUGCCAAGGAAAAUGUGGCCACUCCUUGAUCGAGGCUACAAAAAUCUCCACUUUUAUUUUGGACCGCAAACAUGUUCCUGUAAUUCUCC